GUUAGGAAUAUUGGACAAUGGGCGCAAGCCUGAUCCAGCCAUGCCGCGUGAACGAUGAAGGCCUUCGGGUUGUAAAGUUCUUUAGCCGAUGAUUAUAAUGACUGUAGUCGGAAAAUAAGCCCCGGCUAACUUCGUGCCAGCAGCCGCGGUAAUACGAAGGGGGCGAGCGUUAUUCGGAAUCACUGGGCGUAAAGCGUGCGUAGGCGGUCUCGUAAGUUAGGAGUGAAAGCCCAGGGCUCAACCUUGGAAUUGCUCUUAAUACUGCAAGGCUAGAAUCUCGGAGAGGAUAGCGGAAUUUCCAGUGUAGCAGUGAAAUGCGUAGAUAUUGGAAGGAACACCAGUGGCGUAAGCGGCUAUCUGGACGAGUAUUGACGCUGAGGCACGAAAGCGUGGGGAUCAAACAGGAUUAGAAACCCCGGUAGUC
This 424-nucleotide ribosomal RNA is filed under the name uncultured bacterium. RNAcentral's name for it is "partial 16S ribosomal RNA". It matches the Rfam family "Bacterial small subunit ribosomal RNA", at positions 354 to 795 of the family's 1533-position model. The record is from RNAcentral.